RNAcentral lists this ribosomal RNA (253 nucleotides) under uncultured bacterium. Its description in RNAcentral is "partial 16S ribosomal RNA". It matches the Rfam family "Bacterial small subunit ribosomal RNA", at positions 524 to 776 of the family's 1533-position model. The record is from RNAcentral.
UACGAAGGGGGCUAGCGUUGCUCGGAAUCACUGGGCGUAAAGCGCACGUAGGCGGCUUUUUAAGUCAGGGGUGAAAUCCUGGAGCUCAACUCCAGAACUGCCUUUGAUACUGAGAAGCUUGAGUCCGGGAGAGGUGAGUGGAACUGCGAGUGCAGAGGUGAAAUUCGUAGAUAUUCGCAAGAACACCAGUGGCGAAGGCGGCUCACUGGCCCGGUACUGACGCUGAGGUGCGAAAGCGUGGGGAGCAAACAGG